RNAcentral lists this unclassified non-coding RNA (200 nucleotides) under Curvularia sp. RNAcentral describes it as "partial internal transcribed spacer 2". Lineage: Eukaryota; Fungi; Ascomycota; Dothideomycetes; Pleosporales; Pleosporaceae. The record is from RNAcentral.
CUAAGUUCAGCGGGUAUCCCUACCUGAUCCGAGGUCAAACGUGAGAAGGAGUCUUGAUGGAGUGCCGCCCUCUUGCUGAUUGCAAGCGCAAAAAUGUGCUGCGCUGCGUAACCAGGAGGCCGGCUGCCAAUCGUUUUAAGGCGAGUCUUUGGCAAACCAAAGACAAAAACGCCCAACACCAAGCAAAGCUUGAGGGUACA